AGAUACGGUCGGACAUCGUGUUGAUAGUGCAAUGGCAUAAGCGUGCUUAACUGCGAGACUGACAAGUCGAGCAGGUACGAAAGUAGGACAUAGUGAUCCGGUGGUUCUGUAUGGAAGGGCCAUCGCUCAACGGAUAAAAGGUACUCUGGGGAUAACAGGCUGAUUCCUCCCAAGAGUUCAUAUCGACGGGGGAGUUUGGCACCUCGAUGUCGGCUCAUCACAUCCUGGGGCUGUAGCCGGUCCCAAGGGUAUGGCUGUUCGCCAUUUAAAGUGGUACGUGAGCUGGGUUUAAAACGUCGUGAGACAGUUUGGUCCCUAUCUGCCGUGGGCGUUGGAAAUUUGAAGGGGGCUGCUCCUAGUACGAGAGGACCGGAGUGGACGUAUCUCUGGUGUACCGGUUGUCACGCCAGUGGCAUUGCCGGGUAGCUAAAUACGGAAGAGAUAACCGCUGAAAGCAUCUAAGCGGGAAACUUGCCUUGAGAUGAGAUUUCCCAGAGCCUUGAGCUCUUUGAAGGGUCGUUCGAGACCAGGACGUUGAUAGGCUGGGUGUGGAAGUGCAGUAAUGCAUUAAGCUAACCAGUACUAAUUGCCCGUACGGCUUGUCCCUAUAACCUUAGCAGGU
Molecule: ribosomal RNA, 622 nt
Filed under: Streptococcus danieliae
Lineage: Bacteria; Bacillati; Bacillota; Bacilli; Lactobacillales; Streptococcaceae
Description: partial 23S ribosomal RNA
Rfam family: Bacterial large subunit ribosomal RNA
Source: RNAcentral